GGGUGCGAUCUCGCCCCCACACCCACAGCUCUGGAUCAAAAGCCUGGAUCUGGAUGACAGACGGCCCCCUGAGCAGACAACCUCCAGAAAACUUAGAUUGUGUCCUGCUCAAACUCCUCUUCUGGAUUCUGGCUGAACACAAGCCCGUUAUCACUUCUCUAAGCUGGGGAAAAGCUGGAAGUGAAGAAAAGCUCUGAGAAGAUGCUGUUGUCCACCUCCGCUGCUAAGCAGUAUGGAGUUUGAUCCUUCCAAUCAGGAAGGUCAGAAGCCUCUGAUGUCAUCGGUCAUUCCAGCCUGGCAACCAGUUUGAAGGAAAACACGCGUAACUGCCAGACAGGUGUCCACUUUGGAGAUCGGGGUAAAGGAUAUCUCCUGCCGCCAACCCAGCCUUGGACCGUCCUCCAGAACUGUCCUCCAGAGUCUGGACCACUCUCCAGCAGAUGCCAGGCUCCCUCCACGCUAAACUUGAACCAUGUCAGACUCUCUCCACCCCUCUACUCCUAUUUCAAGGCGCAGUCUGGCGGGAGAGGGAGGAAGCCAACAAGGAAAUUUAGCAGGAAGACUUGGACGAGGUCUCAGAGAGCAUGCAGACAUCCUUGGGGUUCCUGCACAGUAUCCUUGGGCCUGGGGCCCUCCCACAGGUCCCCACUGGUGGAAGAGGCACUGCUGUGUGAAGGACACAUGACUCAUCCCUGGAGAAGUUCAACUCCUAGGAAGCCAGUUUGCACUUAAAUUUCAUUCAUGGUGCUUUCAGCCAUCAUAGCUGGUUGGGUCCUUCCAUAACAAAAUGGAAGGCCACUCUUCCUCCUGAUGAAGCUAGCUUCCCAAUACUAGAAGGCAGAUACUCUGUCCCUAUUCAAGUUUCUCUUCUGUGCCAUGAAAGCCUGGAUUACUUUGAGGAAGGGGAUUCUUCAAGACAGUUUGCGUAGUCCUUUCUCCCCCACCACCUUGUCUGGAUGUUCCACAGUUAGGCAGGGCCCAUCCUAAGAUACACUGUUGGUACAUUGCCCAAAAAUGGGCUAAACAGCUCAGACGGGGAAGAGCAAACUGUUACUUCUUCUCUGUCUCUUCCCCCCGUGGAGGCAGUUUAAUAUAACAGUGGCUGUAGCUACUGCAGAAAUACUGGCAGGAUGAAACAGAAGUGCUUUGCAAAUGCAGUCCUUCUGGCGUGAGGACCACAUGGGGAAAGUAACUGAGAUACAGAUACCAGAUCCAGCCUCAUUGGUUCUAGUUCAACAGAACUGGGGUAGGGCCCACUUUAACUUAUUGUUUUUUAUUUUACUUUUUAAAGUUUAUUUAUUUAUUUUGAGAGAGAAGGAGCAAGCUGGUGAGGGGCAGAGAGGGAGGAAGAAACAGGAUCCCAAGCAGGCUCCACACCAUCAGUACGGAACCCAGUACAGGGCUCAAACUCACGAACCUUGAGAUCAUGACCUGAGCUGAAAUCAAGAGUCAGUCACUUAACUGACUCAGCCAUCCAGGCGCCCCUAACUUAUUUACUGAUGCACAUUCAGAUUUGGAAAUCUCUCUGUGGGACAUGCCACCCAGGUCAGGGUAAUAGGGAUCCUUUUUUUUUUUUUUUUAAGUUUAUUUAUUUUGAGAGAGAGAGUGAGUGGGGGAGGGGCAGACAAAGAGAGAAUCUCAAGCAGACUCCACGCUCAGCACAGAGCCCAACAUGGGGCUUGAUCCCGUGACAGUGAGAUCACAAUAUCCAGAGUCAGAUGUUUGACUGAGCCACCCAGGCGCCCCAGGGCAAUGGGGGUCCUAAAGAAAGCAAAGCCACACUUGCAUGAAAUAAGCCAUGAUCUAUACCUGACAUGCCAAGACCACGGCCAGGCCUUGAGUCCAAGGCUGAGGGGUCCUUUGGAACCAGCCUUCAAUCCUCUGGCCAGUUUAUUGGUGACAACCUGUCCAGCAGCCUGGGUGCCGAUUUGGAUACAUAGACCCAUGAGCAGAGUUCAUCCUGAGUGACUGUGCAUGUAUUGGUGAAAAACUGCUCUCUCCACUAUGAAGUCCUGUCUCGCCAGGGGCUGCUCACCCUGGCCUGUCAUUCUCUACUGAGUGAUGGUCUCUGUACUUCCCUCCUGUGACCUGUAAGACCUAGAGAAACCCCUAGGAAGACGACACAGAGUGUCUGGGAUGGGGAGAUGGGAUGAGAUUCUUGAUACUGACCUCUAAGAUCUGGUGUCAGAAGCUAAUCAUUAAAGUCUUUAACUUUUUUUUUUUUAACAAUUACAUGUCAAGUUUUAAACACUGUGUUAAAUUUAUUUACAGAUUUUUAAUGUUUAUUUCUUUUUGAGAGAGAGACAGAGUGCAAGUGGGAGAGGGUCAGAGAGAGAGAGGGAGACACAGAUCUGAAGCUGAACUGUCAGCACAGAGCCUGAUGCAGGGCUCGAACCCAUGAACCGGGAGAUCAUAACCUGAGCCAAAGUCAGACACUCAACUGACUGAGCCACCCAGGCGCCCCUUGGUCUUUAACUUUUAUGCUCCCCUCCACCAUGUCUGACACGCUCUCAGUGGGUCCUAAAAUCAUGUUAGUUGUAGUCUGAUAUCAUUGCCUCUCUUAAGUGCUAUAAAAUGUUAUCUACACACCAAUGUGCCCAUUUAUGGUUUCAAAUCUUGUUUUGAGAUAAAGAAUUAUCCUUUAUAAGGCAUUUUCAGGAGGAUUGUCUCAUUUUCUUUGUUGAGUUGAGAAGACAGGGUUCUGGGAUUUGUCCUUUUUAAAAAUUAAUUUAUUUGAGAGAGAAAGAGACAGACAGACAUUGGGGGAGGGGCAGAGAGAGAGGAGAAAGAGAAUACCCAGCAGGCUUCAUGCUGUCAGCACAGAGCCCAACACAGGGCUCGAACUCACAAACCAUGAGAUCAUGACCUGAGCUGAAAUCAAGAGUCAGGUGCUUAACCAGCUGAGCCACCCAGGCGCCCCUGAGUUUUGUCUUUGAGAAACAAAGGAUGUGAAACUCAAAAGACUGAAGCAGGAUCCCAGGUUUCACCUCGACUGCUCUGAUUCAAGUCCUAUAUCCCAUUCAUCCCAUUCUCUUCUCCAUCUGCCCAGACAAUCUGGAGGACAUAAGCCAGUUAGUAUGACGUGCCUAUCAAAAGAUGGAGGUGGGGAUGGGGAAUGGGAAAGUAGUUCUAUUAUAAACUAGUAUGUGCCCUUGGGCAAAUCCUUCCUCCUUCCAAGCCCCCAUUUCUUCAUCUAUAAAAUAAAAGGUGUAGAUAAGAUGAUCUUUAAGGGCCUUUCCCACAGCAUAAGCAAAGCAGUGAGAAAGCGCUUGUAGUGAAUUUGAUGUGACCGGGUACACGAAUGCUGUGGGUGAAUUGUGUGCCCCUGUCCCCACCACCCUGUUCAUGUGUUGAGGUCCUAACCCCCUAGUACUUCAGAAUGUGAUCUUAUUUGGUGGUUAGGUCUUUACGGAGGAAAUCAAGUCUAAGAAAAUGAGGCCAUUAGGAUGGGCACUAAUUCAGUAUGGGUGGCGUCCUUAUAAAAAGGGGAAAUUUGGACGCAGAGACACUGAAGUAGAGGUAAGACAAUGUGAUGACACAUGGAGAGAAGAUGGUCACCUACAAGCCAAGGAAAGAAGAUGGAGCACACCCGCCCCCACCGCCCUCAGAGGGAACCAGCCCUGUCCACGCCUGGAUCUCAGACUCCCAGCCUCCAGAACAGGAGACAAUGCACUUCUGUGGUUAAAGCCACCUGGUUGGUCUUACUUCAUUACAGCUUCCCUGUAAACUGAUCCAACCCGUAUUUUGAAUAAGAGGGAAUUCAGAUUUGACAGUUACUGUCCUGACACUUCGGGCGACCAUUCCAUUAAAGCAAGGCAUGUCCCGAGGCCUCAGAGAAGAACAAGUUCUUUCAAACAAAUGAGAAACUUGAACUUUUUUCUUAGCCUCUCACAUUUCCUGGUCACGGUGAAUAUGUUAGUUUCGGGAAAAAGUGGGUGAAAGACUUCAAGAAUGGUUUGCAAAUCUUGAAGAUGGGUGCUGGUAUCUUAAUAAAAUUGACACAUUACAGAGAAAAGAAAACAAACAGGAGCAAACACAGGCCACAACUUAGAAAAUUAAGGGUGGGAAAGGC
Long non-coding RNA from Panthera uncia (snow leopard), 4072 nucleotides. RefSeq lists it as uncharacterized. The record is from RefSeq and is a predicted model, not a curated record. Lineage: Eukaryota; Metazoa; Chordata; Mammalia; Carnivora; Felidae. The transcript has 3 exons.